UUAAAAAUUUAACUAGGAUUAUAAAUCAUAUAAUACUUUAAAACUUUUUUACGUACUGUUUUAAUUACCUAAAGUAAUUUUUUAUCUAUUACUUGCAUUGGUCAUUCUUAAAUGGCUUAUAAAGUUUUUUCUUCUGGCUUGUAAAAGUAAGCUGUAAAUCCAUGUACCUCUAGUACCAAAGGCCUUUUUAAUGAUAUUUUUGUAAUCCUUAUGUAAUAAAAGUCUGUGUAUUUUUUUCAUAUAUAUAGAUGAUCUAAAAGCAUUAGUUUUGCUCCCAGAACUUUUGCCCAGCCCAAAUUAUGGUAAAGGAAGAGGGAAAAAGAGUAAAGGCAAAACAAGUAUUUUGGCAUCAGGCUGUUAUUUACAAAAAAACAUUCCAAAUUCUGCACUUCUAAUAUUUGCUAAUGGAAUAGAAGACAUGGAGUCUCUUGAACCAGGGCAGAAUAAGCAACCGAUUCUAGUGUGCAUUUCAAAUUCAUUUUACAUUAAAGCAGAUAACAAGUUAAUAGCAUGUCCAAAUCACGCCAUGAAGGCAUUUGACAUUUUAUUUAAAUCCCAUUUCGUAUUUAGUGUGCAAUAUGCACAUGUAUUAACAAAUUUUUACAAUUUUAUGGGAAGUUUUUUAUACAAUAUAAGCACUCCUAGAGCAUGUGUGGACUCGUUAAAUACAUGUUUCAGCAACAUAGCUAUUGAGUAAAAAUUUAUUGCAUUUUUAA
Stegodyphus dumicola is the source of this 716-nucleotide long non-coding RNA. RefSeq lists it as uncharacterized. Lineage: Eukaryota; Metazoa; Arthropoda; Arachnida; Araneae; Eresidae. The record is from RefSeq and is a predicted model, not a curated record.